Molecule: long non-coding RNA, 3227 nt
Organism: Dermochelys coriacea (leatherback sea turtle)
Lineage: Eukaryota; Metazoa; Chordata; Testudines; Dermochelyidae
Exons: 4
Source: RefSeq, a predicted model, not a curated record
GUGGUUAUUUGCUUCAGGUUGUGGGGCUGUUUGUAAGUGAGGACUGGCCUGUCUCCCAAGGUCUGUGAGAGUGAGGGAUCGUCCUUCAGGAUAGCUUGUACAGUCGCCGUUAUUAAUUAUUCUGCAACCUAAAGAUCAAAUGAAUGUUACUCAUUUAUGCUGCAGUCUGUUAUAUGCUGGAACACUAAUCCAGUCAUUAAUCACACACUUAUUGCAGGGCAUGCAAAUUUUUUUUAUGGCUUUCCAUGCAAUUACCAGCCAGAUCCAAAUACGAUGAUUUCUUGGUAUAUGCCUUGGUCUGGGUAUGUUUAUGCUGCAGCUGAGACUGAGCCUCUAAGCUUGGGUAGACAGAGUUAUGCUAGAAGAACUCAAGUAAGUGAGCUAAAAAUAGCAGUGUGAAUGUUGCAGCACUGGUAGAGGCUCAGAACAGCCACCCAAGUUCAAGCCUACCCUAGCCACUUGAACUUGGAUCAAUGGGCUAGUCUGAGCCUCUGUAGGUGCCACAAUGUCAACAGAGCUAUAUUUAGUGUGCUAAGCCCCCACUAGCAUGUAUGUCUGCCUGAGCUGAGAGAUUUGCUCCGAGCUGCAGUGUAGACAUACCCUCUGAGGUUAUGUGGCAAGAGAAAAACAUUGCAAAUGGUUGUUUUGGGUGGUGGGCAGUGGUGAAGUUCUCCAUUAACAAAAUGGAAAGUGAGAAAACCUGAUUUAUCUUUAUAAAAUUAUCUUUAUUAUUAAUAAAAUUAUAUUUGGAUAGAUGGUCAUUUACUUUACGUGGAGCACAAUGAGCAGAGAAAACCAGAACCUGGCUUUCUCUGAGGCAAGUCUCCUUUGGUGAGUCUACACAAAGGAGCAUAGUUAGAAUUUGUGUUAUGUAUGAGGUACUAAGCUUGACUUCAUUCCCUAUUUUAAAGAAACAGUUUACACCCUAAUUUAUGAUUUGACAAUAUAUAUAUAUUGGAUCACGUAGUAAUGUACCAAAAAGUAUAUGUUAUUACAACAUAAAACAAAUUAUUACUAAAGCAAAGGCUGUGUGGACUAAGGAUUGAUGCAUGAACCUUUUUUAGAAGUCUCUUGUACAGAAGUUCUUGAUAUUGCUUAAGAGUCCCAUGAAUAGUUUUUGUAAUCUACAUUAAUUGCUCACACGAACCAAUACACUUUUUUAGUUCAGACAUGCAUUAGUUUUGAGAAUGAGUGGAUGUUGGUCCCAAAUUGUUCAGUCGAAAGGGAAUUAAAAAGACACUUGAGGUUUAGUUUAUUUUCUUACACAAGAUUUUUUAGUAUUUAGCAACUUAUUAAAGGUAUGUUAGUAUAUCAUUCUUCUAAAAAUAGAUCUGUAUUUGUUGCUUACUAUUGUUACCUCAAGGGGAAUAAAGCAACGCUUCAGAAAGGAAAAUUUAGAAAUGGUAGAGGGGAGAUAAAAGGAAAGACCCUUUUCUCAGAAGGACAGACUUGACUCCCUUCUGUAUCUGUCGCCGAUGCAUUUAGCUUACAAUAAGGGUAUCCCUACUCCCUGUAUGAUGUCAUAAAAAUGAAGAAAAGACAAGGUAAUAUGGUGCAAACAAAGAUGCAGUGGACACUAUGCACGGAUGCAAGGCCCAGGACCUUCUACUCUCCGGCUAAUUGGAAGCCUUUGAGGAGGUCCGCUGGGGAGUCCCAAUGACUGCUGGAUUUUGUCACAGGCAGGGAGAUUCUCUGGGAUGAUGGACACCAGGAAAGCACAGGUUGGAAACAUAAACUCAUGUGCACACUUCCAAAGGAAUGAAGUAGGGAACCUUCACACUCUUGCAAACCUGAGUAAGUGCCAGGAGGAGAGCCAUAUUCCUCCUUAAGGCUGGAAGGAGAGGAGCUCUGUUGUGCACACUAAGAGGUAAAACUAAGGAUUCUACAAUCCUGCAUAAAUGGUCUAAGUGAUCAGAAGGUAAUGAAAAAAUUGCUUAUUUGGAUGUUAAACUGCUGAAAGCUGACCAGAUAAUUAAUGUAAGAGCCUUGGUAGUGAGUUGCUAUAUAUUAACUUUAUUGUCAUUUUUUAAAUUAUAGCUAAGCUUAUUGAGUCUUUAGUUGCUUACCAAAUUAUUUUUAUACUUUUGUGUCAAAUUUAUCUAUCUAUCUAUCUAUCUAUCUAUCUAUCUAUCUAUCUAUCUAUCUAUCUUAUUUAGUUAUGUUUUCAUUUUAAAAUAUAUUAAUGUUGUUGAUUCUCAAAACAGUCCCUAAAUUAGAUUAAUCACCAUUCUUAUUUCCUCCCCCCUAAACUAUUUUCAGAAGAGUGGUUGCACUACAUUUGAAAAUUCAAAUACAGUAAGAGCUACAAGAAUGACUGAAGGUUUGAAAACCUACUUUAUAUUCAGACACUAACAAAACUCAAUAUAUUUAGCUUGACAACGAGGAGGUUAAGAGGUGACUUGAUCAUAGUCUGUAGGUACCUACAUUGGGAGAAGGUUUCUGACAGUAGAGGGUUCUUUAAUCUAGCAAAAGCAUAACAAGAUCAAAUGACUGGAAGUGAAGCUAGACAAAUUUCAAACUUGAAAUAAGGUGCUAAUAUUUUACAGAGUGUAUAUAACCAUUGGAACAAAUUAUGUAGCGAUCGGGGGUGGAGGGGUUCUCUAUCACUUGAAUUCUCUAAAAGGUGGGCACUAGCUCAGCCAGGAGUUAUGGAUUUGAUGUCGGUCUCAUGUAGGAAGUCAGACUAGAUUAUCACAAUACUCCUUUAAGUCUUAAAAUCUAUGAAUCACUAUAUGAUUUAAGUGGACCACAAAAUGGCAGAUCUGGAGAGAAGAAAGGUGAGUAAUAAGGGGAAAAUAUCAGAUAGUCUACAAAGCCAUUUUGCAGGCUCUGCACACUGCACUGAAGAAUGAGGGAAUGGCUGUAGCAUCAGAGACUUUCUCUCUCUAUACUAAGAAUCCCCUCCUCAAAGGCAGGGCCUUUUCCAAGAAGACCUCAUCCUCCCUUCAAAGUUAUCCUGCUAAGGAGUUUAUAAAGCACAUCUCCUUUCAAAUAUCACUGAAAAUGCUUGGAAUCUGUAGGUUCACAAAAACCUCCUCACUAAAAUUUCAGUUAAUAUAUAACUGAAAUGGUUGUUGGGUGGAAAAGUUUUCAGGAAAGAACUGCAUUAAAAUAUUUCCUGUUACAGACAAGGAGGGUAAACACAAAAUUCCACACACAAGAACAUCUUCCUCUUUCUCUGAUGAUUCUUCCCAAAGAUAUUAAAAAAAACCAAAAAACCUAAAAAC